Molecule: non-coding RNA, 104 nt
Organism: Pelobates cultripes (western spadefoot toad)
Lineage: Eukaryota; Metazoa; Chordata; Amphibia; Anura; Pelobatidae
Source: the annotation of a GenBank genome assembly
AAGUGCUAUUUCUCUCAAAAAUUGUAAACAGAUCUGUCUAAAUUUGUGCUCACUAAAACAGAUUUAGACAGAUUUGUGUACAAUAUUUGAGAGAAAUAGGCCUU